GGGAAAGUUGCUAUAGGUAGGGCAAGAUAUUUGCUAAAUAUUAUGUUUUAACAUAUAAUGGUUCGAAUCCAUUCUUUUCCG
RNAcentral lists this transfer RNA (81 nucleotides) under Genlisea aurea. It matches the Rfam family "tRNA". Rfam says of the family: Transfer RNA (tRNA) molecules are approximately 80 nucleotides in length. Their secondary structure includes four short double-helical elements and three loops (D, anti-codon, and T loops). Lineage: Eukaryota; Viridiplantae; Streptophyta; Magnoliopsida; Lamiales; Lentibulariaceae. The record is from Rfam by way of RNAcentral.